This is a long non-coding RNA of Homo sapiens (human), 1806 nucleotides long. NCBI's taxonomy places the organism in Eukaryota, Metazoa, Chordata, Mammalia, Primates, Hominidae. The record is from Ensembl.
GCGCGGGCGCGCGCCCGCGUCCGCGCACUGAGAGUCGCCUCGGCCGCUCGCUUUCUCGACUCCCGCCUCGCGCCUCGAUCCUGUUCCGCCUCCCUCGGCCCUCCUGCCCGCCCCCACUCGUCGGCCCUCAGCUCAGAGACCUAAUAGGAUGGGGUCUUAGAGAAACAUCUUUUGAGCCACAGACUUCUUUGUUACCAGAAGGAAAAUGAAAGAAGAAAUUUAAAUACCACUUGAAGAGAGGUGCUGCCCAGUUCAUGAGUGCUGCUGCUGUCCUGCCCAAGUACCCAGCUUGCAGAGUGCCAGAGUUAGAGUCCCAGGGGUGUUCUCCACAGCUGCAUGCUUGAUCCAGGCCUAUCAGCAGCCCUGCUUCUUUAGAAUUGACAGUCUGGCUUCGUGGUUAAUUCACAGCAUCUGAGGAAUACAUCCAAAGAGGGUGAUACUGUGGCAUGAUGGUACCAGGAUUCCAAGUUCAUUCCAGGAAAAAAUCUACAACUUUCAUCAAAUUACUCAGGGAGACUUUAUUCUAAAGAGACUGAAAACGACCAACAUCAAUUUUGACUCCUAUGGGCAUCUGUAAAUAGCUUCAAGGUUUUAAGGUGAAAUGUCAUGUACCAAAAUACACAUUCUGGAGAAGCAGGAAGCUACAGACCAACUUGAGAUGAAAGUCUCAUAUCAAUGUUUUCCCAAGUGUGCUCCUUGGAAUACAGGUUGACAUGAUAUGAUGCCCAGCAAGGGAAACAAAACAUAUUCAUGUUCAAAUUAGUUGGGGAAAUGCUGGACUAAAUAAGGUUUGAUGGGAUUCUUUUUUCUGCAGGACUUCUCAGAAGGGGCUAGAGUAGGCAAAGUUUCCCAGAUUUACCUAAUAAAAGCAUUGUUUCUGUGGGAGUUUCAUUUGUUAUUACAUGUUUCCUGAAUGCAGAUUCAUAGACUAUCCUUUGGGGAACCCUCGUCCUCACGGGAUGUAUGUUCAUGGUGGUGUCUUCGAGUUUGUGCCCUUGUGAAGCAUUCUGGCAGCAAGCAUCUGAACACUUCCAAAAGGGGGCGAUAUUUAGGAGAAAUCGCUCAGCCUGAGUUAGAACAAAUGCAGCUGCUGGUGUCUCUUGGUGCCUGGGAGCCCUAGAGUGUCAGAGGGAGGAGCGUGCACACUGGAACCAGCAGCCUGGUGCUGCGUCUCAGCUCUGUCGCUAACUGGCUAUGCACCUCUGGGCAUGGCACUUAACCCUUCUGAGCCCCAGCCCGCCAUCUGUAAAAAGGGCUUGAUGUGAGGAUUGAAUGAGAUCAUGCAGGGAACACAAUGUCUGGCACUUGGAAGCGUCCACCAUAAAGAGCCAAGGCAGUAGAUGGCCCAGCUGGGUUUGGUCCAGGCAGAGUUUACCCUCUGCCCUGGAGGCUCCAGGAAAUGCUGCCACGUGGCUCCUAUUGCCUUAACCACAUCCGACCUGUUCCUGACAGCUCCCCACAUCUCCAGCUCCUUUGCUGGUGCUCCAGGCACCUCCAAACGUGGCGAGCCCCUCUCCCCUGCCCUCUUGUGGCAGCUGACCUGGCAGGAGUGGGACCAAGACAUCCAAGGCAGCUCCUUUCCACCUGCAUGGGCACUUUCCUCAGGACAUCCUUGCCCCUGGCACCACCUUGGGCCAGCAAGCCACAUGGAAAUGGAUGCAGAGGCACCACUGUUUGCUGACAAUUAUACACUGUCCUUAAGGUCACCCUUGGCGAUCUGUCACCAGGAGCAGACAAACCCACACCUCAACCAUCCCAUCAGAGCUUGUUUCUAUCUGCAUCUGUCAUCGCUGAUCGCAUUUGAAU